This is a non-coding RNA of Haemonchus placei, 75 nucleotides long. The record is from Rfam. NCBI's taxonomy places the organism in Eukaryota, Metazoa, Nematoda, Chromadorea, Rhabditida, Trichostrongylidae.
GGCGCAAACUUGGAGUGGAGUAGAUUAAUAUGGUCAGCUGACCCUAAUAGUCUACUCUACUUCAAAUUCGGGCCC